CACCGUUAUAUGGUCAGCCACUUGGCUCCGAACUCCACACUGAUACACAUUCUUCCAUAUUUUAUGAGUGGAAGAAACCUGUCAGCAUUGUUGUGGCUAUCCACCCUAGGACAUUUACCCUGGGCUAUUCUACCCUGGUCUGUGUCGUCUCGGUCCUAAUUAUCCCGAUCCGUACUUCUUCGGGCUGCAUGACCUCGGCUGUAUGACCUCGGACCGCUUGACCCUGACUGGACUAAGGCCUGCACUACAUCGAGCUUCUGAUAUACAUAUGUGCAAAGUUUUAUUUUUGAUUGAUUGAAUUUGAAUACAUAUAUAGAUGGAAAAUAUAUAUUGAAAAUAGA
RNAcentral lists this long non-coding RNA (341 nucleotides) under Penaeus monodon (black tiger shrimp). RNAcentral describes it as "uncharacterized LOC119571389". The record is from RNAcentral. Lineage: Eukaryota; Metazoa; Arthropoda; Malacostraca; Decapoda; Penaeidae.